GUGGGGAAUAUUGGACAAUGGGCGAAAGCCUGAUCCAGCCAUGCCGCGUGUGUGAAGAAGGUCUUCGGAUUGUAAAGCACUUUAAGUUGGGAGGAAGGGCAGUAAGUUAAUACCUUGCUGUUUUGACGUUACCGACAGAAUAAGCACCGGCUAACUUCGUGCCAGCAGCCGCGGUAAUACGAAGGGUGCAAGCGUUAAUCGGAAUUACUGGGCGUACAGCGCGCGUAGGUGGUUUUGUAAGUUGGAGGUGAAAUCCCCGGGCUCAACCUGGGAACUGCCUCCGAAACUGCAUGACUAGAGUACGGUAGAGGGUAGUGGAAUUUCCUGUGUAGCGGUGAAAUGCGUAGAUAUAGGAAGGAACACCAGUGGCGAAGGCGACUACCUGGACUGAUACUGACACUGAGGUGCGAAAGCGUGGGGAGCAAACAGGAUUAGAAACCCGGGUAGUCC
RNAcentral lists this ribosomal RNA (450 nucleotides) under uncultured bacterium. RNAcentral describes it as "bacterial SSU rRNA". It matches the Rfam family "Bacterial small subunit ribosomal RNA", at positions 354 to 796 of the family's 1533-position model. The record is from RNAcentral.